Molecule: long non-coding RNA, 1399 nt
Organism: Maniola jurtina (meadow brown)
Lineage: Eukaryota; Metazoa; Arthropoda; Insecta; Lepidoptera; Nymphalidae
Exons: 2
Source: RefSeq, a predicted model, not a curated record
CAUCCUCACACCGGUUGCCAUCUCAACCUCUCGUGCACUAUAGUUACCUACUAACAUUGGUGUAAAAUUCUCAAACAGAAGCCUAUUAAACUAAAAGGAGAGGGAAAAAAUAAAACAAAAAAGGUAUUCAUUUCAUGUGUUUAUUUUAUUUUCCUUCUAUCAAGAUAAAGACAAAUUAUUAACUAUUCUGUUUUGUCAUUAGUCAUUACACGCUGCCUCUGUUCUCUAAACAGUAUAAAACAUUUUGCUUUUGACAGAGCAGUAGAACAUCUUUUUAACAAAAAUAAAGAAACUGUGCGUACAAAAAAAAACAGUUUUCCUUACACAAUUACUUGUGAAUUUCUUAAUGUUAGUUAUCAAUUAGGUACUUAUUACAAAUUUUUUGCAAAAUGGCAGUUAGUAUCACUUUUAUAUUUGUUAAUAAUAAUAAGCAUGAUCAAAACAUUUAGUGGCCAAUGACUUUUCAUAGUAAAUUACAUUACUACCACGUUUCUAAGUCGCAUCGUUUGCACAGUAAAGCGCACAACCUAACGCCAACUAAAACCGAAUGUACACCAAUGAAAUACAGGUCAUUAUUGCUUGACACAAAAACAACAGACUCGUGCUAUCUCGCUCGUAAAUUGCGCGUACAAAACUGCGCGUACGCAACAACCAUGCGCGCUAUGAUUGGCCGAGAUAUUUUCGCGCCAUUUAAAAAUACGAUUUCUGCGCAGGUACAUCGACGUAACUUAUAAAAGUGGGUACUAUUCACUCAAUACGUUAAAAAAUACAUGAAAAUAAUCACAUAGGUACACCAUUACUGUUAAUCCAAUCUCGGCUUUAUUAGUCAUUCGUUUAUCAAUAAAAUGUACUAUCACAGAUGCUUAUUGCAUUAAAAAAAACCAAUUGCAUUAAAAAUGUGGUGUAUUUUUUUUAAUUGCACAUAAAAAAUGUGCAGAAAUAAUAAUCGUAAAAAGCUUUCAGCUUAGAAUAUAUUCGUAACUUAAAACUAAAUGUUUUAUGAUGUCCUUUCAUUUACUUCAUUGCAAACAUAAUGGAGGGAUGUAUUAAACUUAAACACUCCUUUAAGAAAUAAAUCGUAAGAUUACGAUAAUAGGGUUAGUACAGUAGGUACAAUAUUUUCUAUAACGUUAACACAUACCUAGUCUAGAUAAAAAUCUGCAAUUGUUAAUCUUUAUGACCAGUGAACUACCGUCAUUGUACUACCACCAAAAACUAGUUGGUGGCUUUCUAAACAUUUGCAUUGAUUUUAGGUUUCACGUUCAGAUUUUCUAGAGUAAAAAACAUGCUAACGAAAAGCAUCCAAAAACCACACUAUAAACCAUAAUACUAGUAUUACAUAAUAAUAUGUAAUAGGGUAUGUAUAAUUUGUAUAAAUAUCGAAUCUCGUUGCAAUUUG